Long non-coding RNA from Neopsephotus bourkii (Bourke's parrot), 796 nucleotides. RefSeq lists it as uncharacterized. NCBI's taxonomy places the organism in Eukaryota, Metazoa, Chordata, Aves, Psittaciformes, Psittacidae. The transcript has 4 exons. The record is from RefSeq and is a predicted model, not a curated record.
ACCAAACUUCUGUCUCUGAUUUGUUGUUACUGUCUCCUCCUUUGCAGGCUGUUUGCCUCAUUUCCAAUGAAAAGACAGCAGAGGAGAGUGAGUGAUGGCCCAAAUAAUCUACAGCUGCUAUCAAAUCAAGCUCUGGGGGUAAGUGAUGUUCCACAGAGGGUUUAAAGCAGAGGCUAGUGCUGUGAGCUCAGGUAAAUGGUGGUGUUACUGGGGUUUUACAUGUAGCAAUAAUACAGGUCUUGGAAACUCAGACAGAAACUUGUACUUGGUGCUGCUAUCACUGAAAAGAAGGUGAGGAUAAGAAACUGUUUUUCAGUGCUCCCCUAACAGGCUGUAAUCCCAGUUUCUAGCAGCCAUCAGUGACCGAGAGAUGUGUUCCAGCAGGUAGAAUUGUGGUUCCUUUAGAAACUAGAGACAAGAUUAACUGUACUGUAAAAUACAUGCCAAGCCAUACAGCAACCGAGACUCACAAAGCAGGCUGUGCAAAUGUUGUGAUGCAUUUUGCCAAAACCAGCACGGAAACGGCAGACAGGAGAAGUGUAAAUGGCUGAAGGUUAACCCAGGACAGCAAGGCACUACAGGGCUGCUCACAAGUGGAAUCGUCUACGUGCUGCCAUGGAAACAGCAGCCUUGGUCCCCAGCACAGCUUGCAGCCAUCUGCAAGGGAACAAUUGUUGGUCUGUUUGUUUAAAACCAUCCGGGGUGGUGCUGGGCGGUGUGUGGCUGGCCAAGGGGAAGCCACAUGGGACAUGACAGGACGUGCUUGUCACACUGAAUAGCACAGCAGACAAAUGCC